This is a small nuclear RNA of Camelus dromedarius (Arabian camel), 165 nucleotides long. Its record names the gene U1. It matches the Rfam family "U1 spliceosomal RNA". From Rfam's summary of the family: U1 is a small nuclear RNA (snRNA) component of the spliceosome (involved in pre-mRNA splicing). Its 5' end forms complementary base pairs with the 5' splice junction, thus defining the 5' donor site of an intron. The record is from Ensembl. NCBI's taxonomy places the organism in Eukaryota, Metazoa, Chordata, Mammalia, Artiodactyla, Camelidae.
AUACUUGCCUGGCAGGGGAGACACCACGAUCACGAAGGCGGUUUUCCCAGGGCGAGGCUUAUCCGUCGCGCGCGGGAUGUGCUGACCCCUUGCGAUUUCCGCAAAUGUGGGAAACUCGACUGCAUAAUUUGUGGUAGUGCGGGACUGCGUUGGCGCUUUCCCCUG